CUUCUCACUGCCUUUUUAGAAAUUAGGAUUAAAUUCCUUGGCCACUGAAAAAGGCAAGAAAUGCUCUAAGGUGUGUUUGGGAAAGAAGAAGACAAACCACUUAGAUGUGAGUGGAUUAAUAGUACAAAAUUCCUCAGGAAAGCAAGGAAAGGCUGCACAUUAAUUCUGAGACAACAAAUAAAAGUUGAAACGCGAACCCACAGUGAAACAGAAAGGGCUCUUGGUGGAGGGGUGACUGAACCAAGUAGUAAAAUCUGGCCCUUGGUGAAUAGACUCUUAAUAGGUUAGGCGGUCAACAGGUGUCGAAUUCAAAAAGGACAUCUUUUGGCCGAAACUUGACAUCAGUUGAGGAACAGCUCCACCUGUGGGUUCUUGUCUCUCUCAAAGGGUGACAAGGUGGAUAGCAGGAGGGGUCCCCCUGCAGAGCACAAUAGCAUGGGAAGCAGACAAAAGUCUCCCUGGCCUGCGGUCUAAUCUGUGAUCUGCUGGGAGAUCAUUUGACCCUUCUUAGUUCAUUUCUUUUUUUCUGCAGCUUUCAGCUUGUUCUGUCAGGGCAAUGGCUGAGGUGGAGCAUGUAGUUCAGUGAAUCACAAACGAGGAAAGGGCUAAGAUCCAUGGCGGACAGAAGUGCUCUAAUAUAUUUGGAAGGAUACACAAGGAACAGUGGUUGCCUCUGGGGAGAAGUGAAUGGGAUAUAAGGGAUACUGCAUAAGUAGACACAGCCCUGUACUGCGUUAUCCCCGCUGACCUGCUGGAAGUAUUCUAGGGUGUAGCUUGUACAUCUGAUGUUUCUCCUGGAAACCAGAGGAAAGCAGCACAGCAGGGCUACGGGAGCCUCAAGUCCAGGCUGAAGGCGCCAGAGUCACCGGAACUGUACCCAGACAAGAUGACCCGCAUGAAGGCAACUCUCUCGUUCUGUUGUUUUUUCCUUUAUGUUUUGAAAAAACAAUCUCAAGUUCAGAGAGGCGACGCCGCUUGCUCUGGGCAGCGUAUCUGUCAUCAAAGCUGAGUGACGUGAACAGAACCUAAUGCAGAAAUAAUCCCAGUGGUCCAACACAGGAUCAAACACGUGCCCCCUGCAGCAGAAGUGUGGAGUCCCAGCCACUGGACCACCAGGGAAUUCCCUCAUGGGCCACGAACUUAAUGCGUGGGUUGUGACCAGUGUUGAAAAUUGUAUCUCACAGUACAUCACACAUAAAAAUGGUUUUCUAUGUGCUGUACUCUGUUGGGUCUAAGACACAUUUUUGAACAUUUCUGGACUCAGGAGAGGUUGGACCUCACAUGUGGAUGGCACCUUACCUGUCCUCAGUGAGGUGGUGGUUGUGACACGUGAAUAAGGUUGUCAGUCCAGCUGCCACACACGCAUCGCUGCAGCCACUCAUUUCUGUCAGUAUUUCAGGAUCAUUUAGGAAGGAAUAAGAAGUGUGGUUAUUUUCUGCACGCUUUUGUUGACACCAAGAUAAAGAAGGUGUCGACAUCAAGCUUUACGGGAUGGGUGUCAGUGGUGUCGAACAAAAUCCUGGGAACAACAGUCUUCUCCUAAGAUGCUCCAUCCAAGGUGUAUUUGAGGGCACAGAGGGGAAAACUUAGAUACUGAGAGGACUGACUUGAAAAGUUGGACUCAAGGUGAGGAAGUUUUA
This is a long non-coding RNA of Hippopotamus amphibius kiboko, 1640 nucleotides long. RefSeq lists it as uncharacterized. The transcript is spliced from 5 exons. Lineage: Eukaryota; Metazoa; Chordata; Mammalia; Artiodactyla; Hippopotamidae. The record is from RefSeq and is a predicted model, not a curated record.